RNAcentral lists this ribosomal RNA (381 nucleotides) under uncultured bacterium. Its description in RNAcentral is "bacterial SSU rRNA". It matches the Rfam family "Bacterial small subunit ribosomal RNA", at positions 524 to 906 of the family's 1533-position model. The record is from RNAcentral.
GACGGAGGGGGCUAGCGUUGUUCGGAAUUACUGGGCGUAAAGGGCGCGUAGGCGGCAAAUCAAGUUAGGCGUGAAAUCCCUGGGCUUAACCCAGGAACUGCGUCUAAUACUGGUUCGCUAGAGAUUGGUAGAGGAAAGUGGAAUUCCUAGUGUAGAGGUGAAAUUCGUAGAUAUUAGGAAGAACACCAGAGGCGAAGGCGGCUUUCUGGGCCAAUACUGACGCUGAGGCGCGAAAGCGUGGGGAGCAAACAGGAUUAGAUACCCUGGUAGUCCACGCCGUAAACGAUGAGUGCUAGACGUCGGUGGUUUAACCGUCGGUGUCGCAGCUAACGCAUUAAGCACUCCGCCUGGGGAGUACGGUCGCAAGAUUAAAACUCAAAG